CUUGAACCAUUGAGGGAGAACAGUAAAUAAGAAUACACAUGAAAAGAGAGGAAAUGCCUUAGGCUGAAAGCAUUUCUGCAUGAUGACUUAUUGAAAAACACUCCUUAGGUUUCUCUCUGAAAAACAGCUUGUUUAGUAGGAGCAGAACGUUGCAGGCGUUAACUGAUUGAGUGGGAAUAGCUUUGGCUAUUUCAACUAGGGUGGAACCACGGGUAUAACUCUCGUCCCUACA
Molecule: non-coding RNA, 232 nt
Filed under: Bacillus sp. (in: firmicutes)
Lineage: Bacteria; Bacillati; Bacillota; Bacilli; Caryophanales; Bacillaceae
Description: Bacillus sp. T-box sequence
Rfam family: T-box leader
About the family: Uncharged tRNA acts as the effector for transcription antitermination of genes in the T-box leader family. T-boxes are found upstream of many aminoacyl-tRNA synthetase genes and some amino acid biosynthetic genes usually in Gram-positive bacteria. The anticodon of a specific tRNA base pairs to a specifier sequence within the T-box motif, and the NCCA acceptor tail of the tRNA base pairs to a conserved bulge in the T-box antiterminator hairpin.
Source: RNAcentral